AGUAGCGGUGAAAUGCGUAGAUAUCUGGAGGAAUACCAAAGGCGAAGGCAGUCCCCUGGUCCGAUACUGACACUGAGGUACGAAAGCGUGGGGAGCAAACAGGAUUAGAUACCCUGGUAGUCCACGCCCUAAACGAUGUCGAUUAGCCAUUGGAAGGACCCCUUUUCCUUUCAGUGACGUAGCUAACGCGUUAAAUCGACCGCCUGGGAAGUACGACCGCAAGGUUAAAACUCAAAGGAAUUGACGGGGACCUGAACAAGCGGUGAAUGAUGUGGAUUAAUUCGAUGCUACGCGAAGAACCUUACCUACCUUUGACAUGGCCAAAGUUCUACCGAGAGGCGGAAGUACUCGUAAGAGGAUUGGCGCACAGGUGCUGCAUGGUUGUCGUCAGUUCGUGUCGUGAGAUGUUGGGUUCAGUCCCGCAACGAACGCAACCCUUAUCUUUAAUUGCUCCUAUUUUAACAGGCACUUUAAAGAAACUGCCAAUGAUAAGUUGGAGGAAGGUGGGGAUCACGUCAAGUCCGCAUGGCCUUUAUAGGUAGGGCUUCACACGUCAUACAAUGGUUAGAACAAAGAGCUGCAAAUUCGUAAGAAGGAGCCAAUCUCACAAACCUAACCUCAGUUCGAAUUGCGGUCUGCAACUCAAGCGCAUGAAGCCGGAAUCGCUAGUAAUCGUGGAUCAGAAUGCCA
This 690-nucleotide ribosomal RNA is filed under the name uncultured Candidatus Tremblayella sp. RNAcentral describes it as "bacterial SSU rRNA". It matches the Rfam family "Bacterial small subunit ribosomal RNA", at positions 674 to 1359 of the family's 1533-position model. Lineage: Bacteria; Pseudomonadati; Pseudomonadota; Betaproteobacteria. The record is from RNAcentral.